GACGAACGCUGGCGGCGUGCCUAAUACAUGCAAGUAGAACGCUGAAGGAGGAGCUUGCUUCUCUGGAUGAGUUGCGAACGGGUGAGUAACGCGUAGGUAACCUGCCUGGUAGCGGGGGAUAACUAUUGGAAACGAUAGCUAAUACCGCAUAAUAGCAGUUGUUGCAUGACAACUGUUUGAAAGUUGCAAUUGCACCACUACCAGAUGGACCUGCGUUGUAUUAGCUAGUUGGUGGGGUAACGGCUCACCAAGGCGACGAUACAUAGCCGACCUGAGAGGGUGAUCGGCCACACUGGGACUGAGACACGGCCCAGACUCCUACGGGAGGCAGCAGGAGGGAAUCUUCGGCAAGGGACGGAAGUCUGACCGAGCAACGCCGCGUGAGUGAAGAAGGUUUUCGGAUCGUAAAGCUCUGUUGUAAGAGAAGAACGAGUGUGAGAGUGGAAAGUUCACACUGUGACGGUAUCUUACCAGAAAGGGACGGCUAACUACGUG
This 495-nucleotide ribosomal RNA is filed under the name uncultured bacterium. RNAcentral describes it as "partial 16S ribosomal RNA". It matches the Rfam family "Bacterial small subunit ribosomal RNA", at positions 28 to 507 of the family's 1533-position model. The record is from RNAcentral.